RNAcentral lists this long non-coding RNA (762 nucleotides) under Anas platyrhynchos (mallard). Its description in RNAcentral is "lncRNA (ENSAPLG00020016021.1)". The record is from RNAcentral. Lineage: Eukaryota; Metazoa; Chordata; Aves; Anseriformes; Anatidae.
AAAAUAAAAUUGCACUUGCAGAGCUGGCUUUAAUUUCACAGCAUUAGAUACAAGGAAAUCUGUGUUCAAAUCAUGCCAGGUUGCUUAGUUUUCUAAAUCAAAAUUUCAAAAUGCAAUUGAUGCUGUUGCAUGGUAUUCAGGGACUGUGUGCUCUUUACUGGAAUGGGAGAUGUUAUUGUUAUGGUUUUUGAUUGUAGGAUAUUUUAUCCCAAGGCUUUUUUUAUGCUUUAGGCAUUGUUUUAUAUUAAUGAAAGAAUCAUGUUUUCAGCAAGCUUUCUUUAAAUAAUUCUUUUUCUUUUUCUUUACAACAGGGAUGGCAUAUCUGAAUUUGGAAUCACCUUCACCUGAAUAUCCUAGGGCUACAGAAUGGAAACAGUGAUCUUUGGAGUUUACAACUGUUACCUGUGUCAAAGAAACAGAGACUAAAAAUGAGUGUAAGAGCAGAGAAUACCUGCAGCCAUCACAGGGUGCGAGGACAUGAAAAAGACCCAACAGCAGCAAAUAAGAAGAUGUGAGCUAUGCUAUGCUCACAGUGGAAUCAUUAGGAAUUUUACCAUGAGAACAGAACGGAGUUGUUCUUUCAGCAUUUCAGUACCCAUCACCAUAUUAUCUAGGCGCCACCAUAAGAUUAAGAAGCUCUGUAGUGACAUUCUCAACAUGAUCUGCUCAGAGGUCAUUAGCAGCGCCUUUCAUACUGGCAAGGAUCGGAGGAGAGCAAGGAAGUGCGCAGCAGCAGGAGAGAAAAAGGAAAAGAGGCGGUAA